GACGAACGCUGGCGGCAUGCCUAAUACAUGCAAGUCGGACGCAGUUGCGAACGGUUGAGUAACGCGUAGGUAACUACAUAUUAGAGGGGGAUGACUAUUGGAAACGAUAACGAAUACCGCAUACUAGUAGAUGGACCUGCGUUGUAUUAGCUAGUAGGUAGGGUAAUGGCCUCCCUAGGGAACGAUACAUAGCCGAGCUGGGAGGGUGAUCGGCCAAACGGGGACUGGGACACGGCUCAGAACCCUACGGGAUGCAGCAGUAGGGAAUCUUCGGACAAGGGGGGAAACCUGACCGCGGAACGGCGCGGGAUUGAAGAAGGUUUUCCGAUCGUAAAGGUAGGUUGUUAAGGAAGCGGUACUUAACCAGAAAGGAACGGCUAACUACGUGCCAGCAGCCGCGGUAAUUC
This 407-nucleotide ribosomal RNA is filed under the name uncultured bacterium. RNAcentral describes it as "partial 16S ribosomal RNA". It matches the Rfam family "Bacterial small subunit ribosomal RNA", at positions 28 to 526 of the family's 1533-position model. The record is from RNAcentral.